UGCUGGGCAAUUGUCUAGGGGGAAGGAAAGCGCCUGCCACUUGGCCAGCGGGCAGCUGUUGCUUGUCCUGACAAACAAAUCUUUUGUCGACUGCGGUUGUCCGGGGUCGGGCUGGUCAACCCUUUCAGGAGUCUCAACUGUCAAAAGUACAUUUGCCUCGGUUACGCCACAGAGGAAAUAUCCUUGAAGCAUGUAAUGACAAUAUCAGGCAAGGCGGCCUUCCCAUUGCUGCCCUGCUGCCCUGCUGCCCUGCGGCCCUGCGGCCCUUUUGGGUUACCCAGAGUUGCCGAGGAGUUGAGUGAGAGUCUCCCCUGCUGCAGUCCCCCCUUGAGUGCUGAUUGUGUUGUUCGUUGUGCUCCAUUUUCAUUUUGCGGCGUUGAUGAAACUUUAAUGACACACCGCACGCAUCCAAGAACUGGGGGCCAUGUGUUGUCCGGCUUCAGCUUCCAGCUAGAGUUCGCUCCUCUUCCCCUCUGUGUAUCUCUGCUACUUUUCUGCACAAUUUCAUUUCUGUGGGUCAGACAAAGCCGGCUAAUGGCGGCUAAUGAAGCCAGUUUUAUUGAGGAUUUUGUGGGUCGCUGAACUGUAGCUCCCAGCCUGCAU
Molecule: long non-coding RNA, 603 nt
Filed under: Drosophila guanche
Lineage: Eukaryota; Metazoa; Arthropoda; Insecta; Diptera; Drosophilidae
Source: RNAcentral